Molecule: ribosomal RNA, 379 nt
Filed under: uncultured eukaryote
Lineage: Eukaryota
Description: partial 18S ribosomal RNA
Rfam family: Eukaryotic small subunit ribosomal RNA
Source: RNAcentral
CAAUAGCGUAUAUUUAAGUUGUUGCAGUUAAAAAGCUCGUAGUUGGAUUUCGGAUGGGACUUGCUGGUCCGUCGUUUCGAUGUGCACUGGCCAGUCCUAUCUUGUUGUCGGGGACUAGCUCCUGGGCUUCACUGUCCGGGACUAGGAGCUGACGAGGUUACUUUGAGUAAAUUAGAGUGUUCAAAGCAAGCCUACGCUCUGAAUACAUUAGCAUGGAAUAACACGAUAGGACUCUGGCUUAUCUUGUUGGUCUGUGAGACCAGAGUAAUGAUUAAGAGGGACAGUCGGGGGCAUUCGUAUUUCAUUGUCAGAGGUGAAAUUCUUGGAUUUAUGAAAGACGAACUUCUGCGAAAGCAUUUGUCAAGGAUGUUUUCAUUAA